Molecule: ribosomal RNA, 253 nt
Filed under: uncultured bacterium
Lineage: Bacteria
Description: partial 16S ribosomal RNA
Rfam family: Bacterial small subunit ribosomal RNA
Source: RNAcentral
UACGUAGGGUGCAGGCGUUAAUCGGAAUUACUGGGCGUAAAGCGUGCGCAGGCGGUUUUGUAAGUCAGAUGUGAAAUCCCCGGGCUUAACCUGGGAACUGCGUUUGAAACUACAAGGCUAGAGUGUGGCAGAGGGGGGUGGAAUUCCACGUGUAGCAGUGAAAUGCGUAGAGAUGUGGAGGAACACCGAUGGCGAAGGCAGCCCCCUGGGUUAACACUGACGCUCAGGCACGAAAGCGUGGGGAGCAAACAGG